RNAcentral lists this long non-coding RNA (104 nucleotides) under Chinchilla lanigera (long-tailed chinchilla). RNAcentral's name for it is "SOX2 overlapping transcript exon 4 (ENSCLAG00000020575.1)". It matches the Rfam family "SOX2 overlapping transcript exon 4". From Rfam's summary of the family: SOX2 overlapping transcript (SOX2OT) is a long non-coding RNA, containing at least 5 exons. The SOX2 gene, an important regulator of neurogenesis, lies within one of the introns of SOX2OT. Lineage: Eukaryota; Metazoa; Chordata; Mammalia; Rodentia; Chinchillidae. The record is from RNAcentral.
CGCGGGUCCAAGCCUGUCGCCCCAAAUCGGAUAAUCUCUGCAGCUGAUAACAAGCAAAAGAGAAGCCAGGCAACAUCCAUAUUAAGAAGAAAACAACUCUGAGG